CUAGGCUCCACUUGGCACCCGCGGCGGCAAUUGUGUCCCAGCCCGGGUAGGGCCUUUGGGCGGCUGCAC
Molecule: transfer RNA, 69 nt
Filed under: Chroodactylon ornatum
Lineage: Eukaryota; Rhodophyta; Stylonematophyceae; Stylonematales; Stylonemataceae
Source: RNAcentral